Molecule: ribosomal RNA, 306 nt
Filed under: uncultured Peredibacter sp.
Lineage: Bacteria; Pseudomonadati; Bdellovibrionota; Bacteriovoracia; Bacteriovoracales; Bacteriovoracaceae
Description: bacterial SSU rRNA
Rfam family: Bacterial small subunit ribosomal RNA
Source: RNAcentral
GAGAGGUGCUGUAUGGCUGUCGUCAGCUUGUGUUGUGAAAUGUUGGGUUAAGUCUCGCAACGAGCGCAACCCCUAUCGUCUGUUGCCAGCAUUAAGUUGGGCACUCUGACGAGACUGCCUGGGUUAACCAGGAGGAAGGUGGGGAUGACGUCAAGUCCUCAUGGCCCUUAUGUCUAGGGCUACACACGUAAUACAAUGGUGCGUACAAAGGGAAGCGAACUCGCAAGGGGGAGCAAAUCUCAAAAAGCGCGCCUCAGUUCGGAUUGAAGUCUGCAACUCGACUUCAUGAAGUUGGAAUCGCUAGUA